RNAcentral lists this ribosomal RNA (442 nucleotides) under uncultured bacterium. RNAcentral describes it as "partial 16S ribosomal RNA". It matches the Rfam family "Bacterial small subunit ribosomal RNA", at positions 338 to 795 of the family's 1533-position model. The record is from RNAcentral.
CCUACGGGUGGCAGCAGUGGGGAAUAUUGGGCAAUGGGCGCAAGCCUGACCCAGCAACGCCGCGUGAAGGAAGAAGGCUUUCGGGUUGUAAACUUCUUUUAAGAGGGAAGUGCAGAAGACGGUACCUCUUGAAUAAGCCACGGCUAACUACGUGCCAGCAGCCGCGGUAAUACGUAGGUGGCAAGCGUUGUCCGGAUUUACUGGGUGUAAAGGGCGUGCAGCCGGGAAGACAAGUCAGAUGUGAAAUCCCGCGGCUCAACCGCGGAACUGCAUUUGAAACUGUUUUUCUUGAGUACCGGAGAGGUCAUCGGAAUUCGUUGUGUAGCGGUGAAAUGCUUAGAUAUGACGAAGAACCCCGAUUGCGAAGGCAGCUUGCUGCAGCGGAACUGACGCUGAUGCUCGAAAGCGCGGGUAUCGAACAGGAUUAGAUACCCGAGUAGUC